This 25-nucleotide ribosomal RNA is filed under the name Rotylenchulus reniformis. Its description in RNAcentral is "partial 28S ribosomal RNA". The record is from RNAcentral. Lineage: Eukaryota; Metazoa; Nematoda; Chromadorea; Rhabditida; Hoplolaimidae.
UUCGACCUGAACUCAGACGUGAACA